UACGAAGGGUGCAAGCGUUGUUCGGAUUUAUUGGGCGUAAAGCGCGCGCAGGCGGAUAAUCAAGUCAGAUGUGAAAUCUCGGGGCCUAACCUCGAAACUGCGUCUGAAACUGUUUAUCUAGAAUCUCGGAGGGGAUAGGGGAAUUUCACGUGUAGGGGUAAAAUCCGUAGAGAUGUGAAGGAACACCCGUGGCGAAGGCGCCUAUCUGGCCGAGAAUUGACGCUGAGGCGCGAAAGCGUGGGGAGCAAAC
Molecule: ribosomal RNA, 250 nt
Filed under: uncultured bacterium
Lineage: Bacteria
Description: partial 16S ribosomal RNA
Rfam family: Bacterial small subunit ribosomal RNA
Source: RNAcentral